UGAGUACAAGAUGCUACGGCAUUGAAGCAGUCUAUGUCAUACUUCCAAGAAAAGCUUGCAAUGUCAUAAACAAAUAAUGCCUGUACCAUAACCGACACAGGUGGGUAGGUAGAGUAUACUAAGGGGCGCGAGAUAACUCUCUCUAAGGAACUCGGCAAAAUGACUCCGUAACUUCGGGAGAAGGAGUACCUUAUUUUAUAAGGUUGCAAUAACAGGGUCCAAGCAACUGUUUACCAAAAACACAGGUCUCCGCUAAGUCGUAAGACGAUGUAUGGGGGCUGACGCCUGCCCAGUGCCAGGUUAAAGAAGUUGGUUAGCAUUAGCGAAGCUGAUAACUGAAGCCCUGGUGAACGGCGGCCGUAACAAUAACGGUCCUAAGGUAGCGAAAUUCCUUGUCGGGUAAGUUCCGACCCGCACGAAAGGCGUAAUGAUUUGGAUACUGUCUCGGAGAGGGGCUCGGUGAAAUAGACUUGUCUGUGAAGAUGCGGACUACCUGCACCUGGACAGAAAGACCCUAUGAAGCUUUACUGUAACUUGAGAUUGAAAUUGGACUUUAUUUGCGCAGUAUAGGUGGGAGACCUCGAAAGUAUUCUUGCGGGAAUAUUGGAGUCAUCAGUGAGAUACCACUCUUAUAAUGUUAGAUUUCUAACUUUGUAUCAUAUCUGGUCAAAGAACAGUUUCAGGCGGGCAGUUUGACUGGGGCGGUCGCCUCCCAAAUGGUAACGGAGGCGCACAAAGGUUUCCUCUGAACGUGUAGAAAUCGUAUCUAGAGUGUAAAGGCAUAAGGAAGCUUGACUGUGAGACCUACAAGUCGAGCAGGGACGAAAGUCGGUCUUAGUGAUCUGACGGUGCUGAGUGGAAAGGCCGUCACUCAACGGAUAAAAGUUACUCUAAGGAUAACAGGCUGAUCUCCCCCAAGAGUUCACAUCGACGGGGAGGUUUGGCACCUCGAUGUCGGCUCAUCGCAUCCUGGGGCGGUAGUACGUCCCAAGGGUUGGGCUGUUCGCCCAUGAAAGCGGUACGCGAGCUGGGUUCAGAACGUCGUGAGACAGUUCGGUCCAUAUCCGGUGUAGGCGUUAGAAUAUUGAGAGGAGCCUUCUUUAGUACGAGAGGACCGAGAAGGACAUACCUCUGGUGUACCAGUUAUCGUGCCAACGGUAAACGCUGGGUAGCUAUGUAUGGAGAGGAUAACCGCUGAAAGCAUCUAA
This 1208-nucleotide ribosomal RNA is filed under the name metagenome. RNAcentral describes it as "bacterial LSU rRNA". It matches the Rfam family "Bacterial large subunit ribosomal RNA", at positions 1564 to 2784 of the family's 2925-position model. The record is from RNAcentral.